CCCUUAGAUGUUCUGGGCUGCACGCGCGCUACACUGAAGCGUUCAACGAGUAUUCACCUUGCCCGGGAGGGUUGGGUAAUCUUUUGAAAACGCUUCGUGAUGGGGAUAGAUUAUUGCAAUUAUUAAUCUUCAACGAGGAAUUCCUAGUAAGCGCGAGUCAUCAGCUCGUGCUGAUUACGUCCCUGCCCUUUGUACACACCGCCCGUCGCUCCUACCGAUUGAAGUUUUCGGUGAGCUGGCAGGAGGAAUUUUUUGAAACUGGUUCGCUAGUGGAUUUUAGUUCCAAAUGCCAACGAAUCGAUGGCUUUAGAGGAAGGAGAAGUCGUAACA
This 330-nucleotide ribosomal RNA is filed under the name uncultured eukaryote. Its description in RNAcentral is "partial 18S ribosomal RNA". It matches the Rfam family "Eukaryotic small subunit ribosomal RNA", at positions 1470 to 1796 of the family's 1831-position model. The record is from RNAcentral.